RNAcentral lists this non-coding RNA (29 nucleotides) under Mus musculus (house mouse). Lineage: Eukaryota; Metazoa; Chordata; Mammalia; Rodentia; Muridae. The record is from RNAcentral.
UGCCAAGGCCUUGGGUUCCAUCCCUGAUA